UUGCUGUGAUGACUAUCUUAGGACACCUUUGGAAUAACCGUGAAAGGAAACUAUUCUGAGCAAC
Carlito syrichta (Philippine tarsier) is the source of this 64-nucleotide small nucleolar RNA. Its record names the gene SNORD58. It matches the Rfam family "Small nucleolar RNA SNORD58". From Rfam's summary of the family: snoRNA U58 is found in introns 1, 3 and 6 of the ribosomal protein RPL17 gene in humans. U58 is a member of the C/D class of snoRNA which contain C (UGAUGA) and D (CUGA) box motifs. The record is from Ensembl. NCBI's taxonomy places the organism in Eukaryota, Metazoa, Chordata, Mammalia, Primates, Tarsiidae.